GAGGGAGAAAAUCUUUCAAGCAGACUUCCUGCUGAGGGAGGAGCCCAACCACUCAGGGGCUCGAUCCCACAACCCAUCACAUCAUGGCCUGAGCUGAAACCAAGAGUUGGAAACUUAACCAACUGAGCCACCCAGGCACCCCUGGCCAUCAUUAAGUAACAUCAUAACAUCAGAACCUGCAUCUGACCACACAAAGCUUAAAGUACCAUAAAGCUUCUCGAAGCAGAGUUCCUUCAGUCAGAAAAGUCACAUCUAGGAAAACUUAUUUCUUUCUGGUACGUCUGGUGAUCCUUCCAAGUUGGGAAGUAAAACUUGUUCUCUUAUUUUACAGUAAAAGAGACACCUUAGAAGAUUGUAAUUUUGAGAACAUCGAAUGAGCUCAGAAUGUGAACUCCUAAGACACGGAGUCUGCGCUACUGGCCCCAUGUCACGUGAUGCCUCAGAGGCUCCAGUGAGACACAGCUGAGCUAGCUGCUAGCCAUGGUUUCGGUGGCUGCGUGUGCCGUUGCACUAAGAGGAAGUGGCUCCUAUGGAACUCCCAGGAUCCCAUGCGCUCCAGCUCCCCAUGGGAUGAGUGGUCAAGGCAGCAGCAGCUGUGGCCUGCUUGCGCAGUUCUAG
RNAcentral lists this long non-coding RNA (618 nucleotides) under Ursus thibetanus thibetanus. RNAcentral's name for it is "lncRNA (ENSUTTG00000003614.1)". The record is from RNAcentral. Lineage: Eukaryota; Metazoa; Chordata; Mammalia; Carnivora; Ursidae.